This 96-nucleotide ribosomal RNA is filed under the name Ochotona princeps (American pika). The record is from RNAcentral. Lineage: Eukaryota; Metazoa; Chordata; Mammalia; Lagomorpha; Ochotonidae.
GCUGUUCCACUCUGGAGACACCCAAUCUCGGCUGAUCUCGGCGGCUAAGCAGGGUCAGGCCCGGUUAAUACUUGGACAGCAGAAAUCAGCCAAGCU